This is a long non-coding RNA of Tarenaya hassleriana, 361 nucleotides long. RefSeq lists it as uncharacterized. The transcript is spliced from 3 exons. The record is from RefSeq and is a predicted model, not a curated record. Lineage: Eukaryota; Viridiplantae; Streptophyta; Magnoliopsida; Brassicales; Cleomaceae.
AAAAGUGACAAAAAGGUGAAAAGGGUUUAAUUUGAUCAUGAAACUAGUGUUUUUUCUGUGUUUGCUACUCCUUCCAUUGUGUUCUUAUGGUUCCGAUGAGGCCAAAUAUGUUGAUCUCUCCAACAGCAAGAUUGAUGAUGAAGUGGGCGUAACGGACUACGAGGCACCAGGAGCCAACUGUAAACAUGACCCAAGUUGUCGACGUGGACAUCAUCCGCCAUACUCCGGGGCCCACGCUCCUUUCUUUAAGACAUGAAAAAAAAUAUGUCCAUUCUCUGUAAUUUUUAUCGAUAAGAAUAAAUAAAAAGAUAUGAACAAAACAAAUUUUAAUUUUAUAAUUGUUUUUUACUAUAACUCUGCA